CAGACUCACUCUCUCCUCUCCUCAUCUCCAUCUCCAUCUCCAUCUCCAUCUCCAUCUCCAUCUCGAUCUGCUCAGCUGAGCUCUUUAUUCUCUUCUCAAUCUCUAUCAUCAGUAGAACUCUAUCAUCAGUACCGUGCUCUUACUAACAAUACCGUGUUCUUACUAUUGUUAGGUUUUGAUUUUUUUUCUGAUUCAUCUUGUUUGUUUGAAGUGACGAAGAAAACCUAAACCCAGAACACGGUAUCUCUUCAAACAUCAUCAUAAAUGGAUGACGAUGAUCAAGAUGAUUACGGUGAUAUUGGGAUGAACCAGUUGAGGACGUUAUGGAAGGUGGUGAAGUGGAUGUUGAAAAUAACAAUGAAGAUGAUGCUUCUGAUGGUAGAAGGUGUAGAGAAAAGGGGUUUCGAUCAGAUUCAGGCACUGAGAUGAACAAAGAAGGUUUGGGAAAUGGAAUUGAAUCUGCUGUGAUUGAUAGAGAUAGUCAGGGAGAACUGAAAUGGGCCUGGUGGUACAAGAGAUGCUAUGUGAGAUACAGGGAAUGUCUGUAUUAUGAUGCAGAGAAGAACCAAGCUGCUACUGUUAAUUCGAACAAGGAUCUGAAAAUGGUGAUACCGAGAAUGGGUUUGCUGGAAGAGACUGGGAACAAUGGUGGUGUUUCACUGCAGUUAGUUAGAGAUGGUGUUGCCGGAAUCUGUUUGUAUCAAGAUUACAAGUUCAGUUCCUAUAUGGCUUGAUUUUGGUGGAGUUCUUGAGGCUGAGUGCAAUGAGAAUCUGUUGAUCCAAGAGUUAUGGCAAGUGAUUUGAAGUUUGUUACUGCAUAUGGAUUUAAGGGUUUGCAGGAGAUGAAGUUAUUACAAGAAUCUGUUGGUGUGUUGAUGAAAUUAAUGAGUUGCUCAAUGAGCACAAUUCAACGACAGUGCAUCAAAUAUAUUGGUCCUAAAGAGAGGGAAGUCUAUGAAGUAAUCGUAGAAGAUAGAAAGCUCAUCUACAAACAAGGUGGAGAGUGUGUGGACACUGUUGAAGGUUUCAAAUGGAUUUUUUUCCUAAGCACAUCGAGAUCAUUGUAUGUUGGGAAGAAGGAAAAGGGACAGUUUCCGCGCUCGAGUUUUCUAUCCGGUGGUGCUACAACAACGGCUGGAAGAUUAGUGGUCAUGAUGGAGUUCUUGAGAUAUGCACAGUUGUUGCAUCUUUGCAUUUGCAGAAAUUUUCACAAUCUCUUUGUGCCAAGUGAUUUACAAUUUGCUUCCUUCUUGACUUUAUAUAGGAAAUUUGGCCAUAUAGCGGCCACUACCUCCCCACAUAAGAAAAUUUCAAAUAAUUCAUCAGCUUCCUUGAGGAACAUCAUGUGGAUCUCACCAAUGUUAAGAGAUGUGCAAAUGAUGAAGACUGCCCAUCAUCAUUCAGAGUUACCGACAGUGAAGUGAAUAGUAAGGCGGAAGUUACAGAGGGUUCAUCAUUCAAACUCACAGUUUCUAUUGGUUGUGUAUGAACGCUUUGGGGAUCAUUAUGUCUCAUAUUGUUGGAUGUAGGGAGUAGUGCAAAUUUGAAAUAUUUUCCCUCAGGUAUCUAGUGAAUGGAGAUAAGUGAACCUGAACUGUAGCCGUGUUUGUAAUUGUAGCCAAGAGGAAGUGAAAAUCAAAUUGAGGAAGGGAUUAAUCAAGAAUCCCAAUGAACAAAAAGUCAGGGAAAACCCAAAAUACACCAAGGAUCAAUCCUAAAUCUAGGUCACAAACAUUUUUCAUGUUCACAAGUAUAGGAUGAAAGUAUAUGUGUAUGCUGGCAAAAGUAUCAAGACUCAAGAGAUUUUACGUGGUUUGGUGCUAAAACCUACAUCCAUGAGGGUGAUUUCACUAUGUAUGAUGAUGAGUACAAGUUCACGGUGUAAUGCAAGCGGCGUUCAAGGUUCAAGGAUUCUUCAUUUGGCACUUUCACAAUGUGAAAUUACACUUUGCAAGUCAGGUGUUGUCAGGGAAAGUGUAGAUGAUACCGCUGGUGCUCCUCAGCAUGUAGCCUCACACCAACUAAGAGAUACUGGCGCAGUUGCAAGUGCUCGAGCUGCAAAAAUAUAUGGGCUCAACAUACUUGCAGAACGUAUCCAGGAUGACUGUGACAAUAUUACUCGCUUUUUGAUACUUGCGAGAGAACCAAUUUUACCAAAAAUGAUAGACCCUUUAAGACAAGCAUUGUGUUUACGCUAGAAGAAGGUACUGGAGGUGACCAACGGUAGAGUAGGUCCAAAAAAAUCUCAUGCGAAGGUAUGUUUUUGUCAGAAUGCUCCAUAUCAUUCAGUUUACCAUUACUUUGUAAACUAACAUUUGUUUUUGUUUUUUCUGUAUGUACACUGACGAGGAGGAUGAAGUACCCUCACUUGCAGACUGUCUUGCUGCAUCUAACCUUGAUUCUUCUCCAGAUAAAGAAACUGAGAAGGAUGCAGCAACACCAGCAAAGAAGAAAGCGGUACCCAAAAGAGCUUCUGCAUCCCAGAAAAAGACGAUCUCUGAGUUUAGUUCCGAUGAUGAGCAAAUACAAACCAUUUCAGAGGAGAAAGGAUCCAAUGGUGAGUUUGAGCCACCUGCGGCGCUAAAAGGUGGAAAGAAGCCAUCUGCGGUCUGGAGACAACAAGCUGCCUUUGGUGAGCAAACAGAAAUCACAAGUGGAUCUAUGAAACUUUUCUUAGAUGCUAAGGUUGAUUGAAUGAUGUUGUAUGUUAUGAGAUCAGAAAUUAAGGUUGGAGAACAAAGCAGCAGCCACUAGGUCCCUUAGCAGCUGCAAGAUUUGUAAGUUUAUGUAGUAUCUCCUUAUGGUAAUUUAAGUUAGAAGAACUUAGGAAUUUCGUAACUUUCCUUGAACUGAACUUAGGAACCAAGUAUGUUUAAGUAUGUUUCUAAUGUAUACACUAGUUUGUUGUGAUACUUGGAAUACAUUUGUAUCAAAUACUCAUACUUUUUGUUAACAUCAAUUGAAGAAUCCAUUUUUC
Molecule: RNA transcript, 2977 nt
Organism: Papaver somniferum (opium poppy)
Lineage: Eukaryota; Viridiplantae; Streptophyta; Magnoliopsida; Ranunculales; Papaveraceae
Gene name: IQ domain-containing protein IQM3-like
Exons: 14
Source: RefSeq, a predicted model, not a curated record